Molecule: ribosomal RNA, 1531 nt
Filed under: Salmonella enterica subsp. enterica serovar Sanjuan
Lineage: Bacteria; Pseudomonadati; Pseudomonadota; Gammaproteobacteria; Enterobacterales; Enterobacteriaceae
Description: bacterial SSU rRNA
Rfam family: Bacterial small subunit ribosomal RNA
Source: RNAcentral
AGAGUUUGAUCAUGGCUCAGAUUGAACGCUGGCGGCAGGCCUAACACAUGCAAGUCGAACGGUAACAGGAAGCAGCUUGCUGCUUUGCUGACGAGUGGCGGACGGGUGAGUAAUGUCUGGGAAACUGCCUGAUGGAGGGGGAUAACUACUGGAAACGGUGGCUAAUACCGCAUAACGUCGCAAGACCAAAGAGGGGGACCUUCGGGCCUCUUGCCAUCAGAUGUGCCCAGAUGGGAUUAGCUUGUUGGUGAGGUAAUGGCUCACCAAGGCGACGAUCCCUAGCUGGUCUGAGAGGAUGACCAGCCACACUGGAACUGAGACACGGUCCAGACUCCUACGGGAGGCAGCAGUGGGGAAUAUUGCACAAUGGGCGCAAGCCUGAUGCAGCCAUGCCGCGUGUAUGAAGAAGGCCUUCGGGUUGUAAAGUACUUUCAGCGGGGAGGAAGGUGUUGUGGUUAAUAACCGCAGCAAUUGACGUUACCCGCAGAAGAAGCACCGGCUAACUCCGUGCCAGCAGCCGCGGUAAUACGGAGGGUGCAAGCGUUAAUCGGAAUUACUGGGCGUAAAGCGCACGCAGGCGGUCUGUCAAGUCGGAUGUGAAAUCCCCGGGCUCAACCUGGGAACUGCAUUCGAAACUGGCAGGCUUGAGUCUUGUAGAGGGGGGUAGAAUUCCAGGUGUAGCGGUGAAAUGCGUAGAGAUCUGGAGGAAUACCGGUGGCGAAGGCGGCCCCCUGGACAAAGACUGACGCUCAGGUGCGAAAGCGUGGGGAGCAAACAGGAUUAGAUACCCUGGUAGUCCACGCCGUAAACGAUGUCUACUUGGAGGUUGUGCCCUUGAGGCGUGGCUUCCGGAGCUAACGCGUUAAGUAGACCGCCUGGGGAGUACGGCCGCAAGGUUAAAACUCAAAUGAAUUGACGGGGGCCCGCACAAGCGGUGGAGCAUGUGGUUUAAUUCGAUGCAACGCGAAGAACCUUACCUGGUCUUGACAUCCACGGAAGUUUUCAGAGAUGAGAAUGUGCCUUCGGGAACCGUGAGACAGGUGCUGCAUGGCUGUCGUCAGCUCGUGUUGUGAAAUGUUGGGUUAAGUCCCGCAACGAGCGCAACCCUUAUCCUUUGUUGCCAGCGAUUAGGUCGGGAACUCAAAGGAGACUGCCAGUGAUAAACUGGAGGAAGGUGGGGGAUGACGUCAAGUCAUCAUGGCCCUUACGACCAGGGCUACACACGUGCUACAAUGGCGCAUACAAAGAGAAGCGACCUCGCGAGAGCAAGCGGACCUCAUAAAGUGCGUCGUAGUCCGGAUUGGAGUCUGCAACUCGACUCCAUGAAGUCGGAAUCGCUAGUAAUCGUGGAUCAGAAUGCCACGGUGAAUACGUUCCCGGGCCUUGUACACACCGCCCGUCACACCAUGGGAGUGGGUUGCAAAAGAAGUAGGUAGCUUAACCUUCGGGAGGGCGCUUACCACUUUGUGAUUCAUGACUGGGGUGAAGUCGUAACAAGGUAACCGUAGGGGAACCUGCGGUUGGAUCACCU